UACAGAGGUCUCAAGCGUUGUUCGGAUUCAUUGGGCGUAAAGGGUGCGUAGGUGGCGGGGCAAGUCUGGUGUGAAAUCCCGGGGCUCAACCCUGGAACUGCACUGGAUACUGCUUUGCUAGAGUACUGGAGAGGGAACUGGAAUUUACGGUGUAGCAGUGAAAUGCGUAGAUAUCGUAAGGAAGACCAGUGGCGAAGGCGAGUUCCUGGACAGUUACUGGCACUGAGGCACGAAGGCCAGGGGAGCAAACGGG
Molecule: ribosomal RNA, 253 nt
Filed under: uncultured bacterium
Lineage: Bacteria
Description: partial 16S ribosomal RNA
Rfam family: Bacterial small subunit ribosomal RNA
Source: RNAcentral